AGACGAACGCUGGCGGCGAGGUCUAACACAUGCAAGUCGAGAGGACGAACCAAGUGCUUGCACUUGGGGAAACCGGCGAACGAGGUGAGUAACACGUGAGGAACCUGCCCUGUACACCGGGAUAACUACGGGAAACCGUGGCUAAUACCGGAUGCUCCACCGAGAUCGCAUGGUCAUGGUGGGAAAGCUCAGGCGGUACAGGAGGGCCUCGCGGCGUAUCAGCUUGUUGGUGGGGUAAUGGCCCACCAAGGCUACGACGCGUAGCUGGAGUGAGAGCUCGAACAGCCACACUGGGACUGAGACACGGCCCAGACUCCUACGGGAGGCAGCAGUGGAGAAUCUUGCGCAAUGGGCGAAAGCCUGACGCAGCCACGCCGCGUGCGGGAAGAAGGCCUUCGGGUCGUAAACCGCUUUCAGGAGGGAAGAAGCGAAAGUGACGGUACCUCCAGAAGAAGGCCCGGCUAACUACGUGCCAGCAGCCGCGGUAAUACGUAGGGGCCGAGCGUUGUCCGGAUUUAUUGGGCGUAAAGCGCAUGUAGGCGGCCUUGUA
RNAcentral lists this ribosomal RNA (550 nucleotides) under uncultured Actinomycetes bacterium. RNAcentral describes it as "bacterial SSU rRNA". It matches the Rfam family "Bacterial small subunit ribosomal RNA", at positions 26 to 585 of the family's 1533-position model. Lineage: Bacteria; Bacillati; Actinomycetota; Actinomycetes. The record is from RNAcentral.